This 73-nucleotide transfer RNA is filed under the name Bacteroidota bacterium. RNAcentral describes it as "Bacteroidetes bacterium tRNA-Trp". It matches the Rfam family "tRNA". From Rfam's summary of the family: Transfer RNA (tRNA) molecules are approximately 80 nucleotides in length. Their secondary structure includes four short double-helical elements and three loops (D, anti-codon, and T loops). The record is from RNAcentral. Lineage: Bacteria; Pseudomonadati; Bacteroidota.
GCGAUGGAAGCUCAACUGGCUGAGCGCCGGUCUCCAAAACCGGCGGGUGCAGGUUCGACUCCUGUCCAUCGCG